This 373-nucleotide ribosomal RNA is filed under the name uncultured bacterium. Its description in RNAcentral is "bacterial SSU rRNA". It matches the Rfam family "Bacterial small subunit ribosomal RNA", at positions 525 to 896 of the family's 1533-position model. The record is from RNAcentral.
ACGAGGGGUGCAAACGUUAUUCGGAUUUAUUGGGCGUAAAGGGUGCGUAGACGGCACAUUAAGUCAACUGUUAAAUCUUCUGGCCUAACUGGAAGUCUGCGGUAGAUACUGAUGAGCUUGAGGAUGGAAGAGAGAAGUGGAAUUCUCGGAGUAGCGGUAAAAUGCGUAGAUCUCGAGAGGAACACCGAUGGCGAAGGCAGCUUCUUGGUCCAAUCCUGACGUUGAGGCACGAAAGCGUGGGUAGCAAACAGGAUUAGAUACCCUGGUAGUCCACGCUGUAAACGAUGAUCACUAGACGACGGUUCUGUUUACAGAAUUGGUGUCGUAGCUAAUGCGAUAAGUGAUCCGCCUGGGAACUACGAUCGCAAGAUUA